RNAcentral lists this small RNA (93 nucleotides) under Klebsiella pneumoniae. RNAcentral describes it as "partial RtT sRNA". It matches the Rfam family "RtT RNA", at positions 38 to 130 of the family's 130-position model. Rfam says of the family: This family represents a bacterial cis-regulatory element known as RtT RNA. The exact function of RtT is unknown although it is thought that it may be involved in changing the cellular response in relation to amino acid starvation. Lineage: Bacteria; Pseudomonadati; Pseudomonadota; Gammaproteobacteria; Enterobacterales; Enterobacteriaceae. The record is from RNAcentral.
GAGGUUCGACUCGAGCGAAGCGAGAGAACGUUGCGUCAGCAACGGCCCGCAGGGCGAGCCACGAAGUGGUGAGUCAUCCUCUAUCACCGACCA